Molecule: non-coding RNA, 194 nt
Filed under: Desulfofarcimen acetoxidans
Lineage: Bacteria; Bacillati; Bacillota; Clostridia; Eubacteriales; Peptococcaceae
Also listed under: 1 other name
Source: RNAcentral
AAUUAAAUAGUUUAUCCAGGUGCUUCCGGUUAUACCGGGAGUGAAAAGGGAACCGGGUGAAAUUCCCGGACGGUCCGGCCACUGUAAAUGGGGAGCUGCUUCCAAAAUGCCACUGGGUCUUUGAGAAACCCGGGAAGGUUGGAGGUAUGCUGUGAGCCAUAAGUCAGGAGACCUGCCUGGGUAUCAGGUGAUUA